GUGGGGAAUCUUGCGCAAUGGGCGAAAGCCUGACGCAGCCAUGCCGCGUGAAUGAUGAAGGUCUUAGGAUUGUAAAAUUCUUUCACCGGGGACGAUAAUGACGGUACCCGGAGAAGAAGCUCCGGCUAACUUCGUGCCAGCAGCCGCGGUAAUACGAAGGGGGCUAGCGUUGCUCGGAAUUACUGGGCGUAAAGGGCGCGUAGGCGGACAGCUUAGUCAGAGGUGAAAGCCCAGGGCUCAACCUUGGAAUUGCCUUUGAUACUGGCUGUCUUGAGUUUGGGAGAGGUGAGUGGAACUCCGAGUGUAGAGGUGAAAUUCGUAGAUAUUCGGAAGAACACCGAUGGCGAAGGCAAUCCCCUGGACCUGUACUGACGCUCAUGCACGAAAGCGUGGGGAGCAAACAGGAUUAGAAACCCCUGUAGUCC
Molecule: ribosomal RNA, 425 nt
Filed under: uncultured bacterium
Lineage: Bacteria
Description: partial 16S ribosomal RNA
Rfam family: Bacterial small subunit ribosomal RNA
Source: RNAcentral